RNAcentral lists this ribosomal RNA (397 nucleotides) under uncultured bacterium. RNAcentral's name for it is "partial 16S ribosomal RNA". It matches the Rfam family "Bacterial small subunit ribosomal RNA", at positions 523 to 918 of the family's 1533-position model. The record is from RNAcentral.
AUACGUAGGUGGCAAGCGUUAUCCGGAUUUACUGGGUGUAAAGGGAGCGUAGACGGCAUGGCAAGUCUGAUGUGAAAACCCGGGGCUCAACCCCGGGAUUGCAUUGGAAACUGUCAAGCUAGAGUGCAGGAGAGGUAAGUGGAAUUCCUAGUGUAGCGGUGAAAUGCGUAGAUAUUAGGAGGAACACCGGCGGCGAAGGCGGCUUACUGGACUGUAACUGACGUUGAGGCUCGAAAGCGUGGGGAGCAAACAGGAUUAGAUACCCUGGUAGUCCACGCGGUAAACGAUGAAUACUAGGUGUUGGGGGCCUAUAGACCCUCGGUGCCGCAGCAAACGCAAUAAGUAUUCCACCUGGGGAGUACGUUCGCAAGAAUGAAACUCAAAGGAAUUGACGGGG